AGCAGCCGCGGUAAUUCCAGCUCCAAUAGCGUAUAUUAAAGUUGUUGCAGUUAAAAAGCUCGUAGUUGAAUUUCGGGGUCAGUAGGUCGGUCGUGCCACUGGUAUGAACUGGUUUUACUGAUUCCUCCCUCUUGAAGAACUGUAAUGCCAUUAAUUUGGUGUUGCAGGGAAUCAGGACUGUUACUUUGAAAAAAUUAGAGUGUUUAAAGCGGGCUCGCGCUUGAAUACAUUAGCAUGGAAUAAUGAAAUAGGACGUUUGAUUCUAUUUUGUGGUUUCUAGGGUCGACGUAAUGAUUAAUAGGGAUAGUUGGGGGCAUUAGUAUUCAAUUGUCAGAGGUGAAAUUCUUGGAUUUAUUGAAGACUAACUACUGCGAAAGCAUUUGCCAAGGAUGUUUCAUUAAUCAAGAACGAAGUUAGGGAUCGAAGACGAUCAGAUACCGUCGUAGUCUUAACCAUAAACUAUGCCGACUAGGAAUCAGACGAUGUUAUUUUUAANGUACUGUUGGCACCUUACGGGAACCAAAGUGUU
RNAcentral lists this ribosomal RNA (529 nucleotides) under uncultured Glomus. Its description in RNAcentral is "SSU rRNA". It matches the Rfam family "Eukaryotic small subunit ribosomal RNA", at positions 569 to 1107 of the family's 1831-position model. Lineage: Eukaryota; Fungi; Glomeromycota; Glomeromycetes; Glomerales; Glomeraceae. The record is from RNAcentral.